Molecule: ribosomal RNA, 484 nt
Filed under: uncultured bacterium
Lineage: Bacteria
Description: partial 16S ribosomal RNA
Rfam family: Bacterial small subunit ribosomal RNA
Source: RNAcentral
AUUGAACGCUGGCGGCAGGCCUAACACAUGCAAGUCGAGCGGAUGAAGGGAGAUUUUUCCUGGAUUCAGCGGCGGACGGGCGAGUAAUGCCUAGGAAUCUGCCUGGUAGUGGGGGAUAACGUCCGGAAACGGGCGCUAAUACCGCAUACGUCCUGAGGGUGAAAGGGGGGGAUCUUUGGACCUCACGCUAUCAGAUGAGCCUAAGUCGUAUUAGCUAGUUGGUUGGGUAAAGGCCUACCAAGGCGACGAUCCGUAACUGGUCUGAGAGGAUGAUCAGUCACACUGGAACUGAGACACGGUCCAGACUCCUACGGGAGGCAGCAGUAGGGAAUCUUCCGCAAUGGGCGAAAGCCUGACGGAGCCACGCCGCGUGUGUGAAGAAGGUCUUCGGAUUGUAAAGCACUGUUAUUUGGGAGGAAGGGCAGUAAGUUAAUACCUGGCUGUCUUGACGGUACCAACAGAAAAAGCCCCGGCUAACUUCGUG